GCUGGCGGCAGGCUUAACACAUGCAAGUCGAACGAUGACUCUCUAGCUUGCUAGAGAUGAUUAGUGGCGGACGGGUGAGUAACAUUUAGGAAUCUGCCUAGUAGUGGGGGAUAGCUCGGGGAAACUCGAAUUAAUACCGCAUACGACCUACGGGUGAAAGGGGGCGCAAGCUCUUGCUAUUAGAUGAGCCUAAAUCAGAUUAGCUAGUUGGUGGGGUAAAGGCCCACCAAGGCGACGAUCUGUAACUGGUCUGAGAGGAUGAUCAGUCACACCGGAACUGAGACACGGUCCGGACUCCUACGGGAGGCAGCAGUGGGGAAUAUUGGACAAUGGGGGCAACCCUGAUCCAGCCAUGCCGCGUGUGUGAAGAAGGCCUUUUGGUUGUAAAGCACUUUAAGCAGGGAGGAGAGGCUAAUGGUUAAUACCCAUUAGAUUAGACGUUACCUGCAGAAUAAGCACCGGCUAACUCUGUGCCAGCAGCCGCGGUAAUACAGAGGGUGCGAGCGUUAAUCGGAAUUACUGGGCGUAAA
RNAcentral lists this ribosomal RNA (530 nucleotides) under Faucicola osloensis. RNAcentral's name for it is "bacterial SSU rRNA". It matches the Rfam family "Bacterial small subunit ribosomal RNA", at positions 35 to 564 of the family's 1533-position model. Lineage: Bacteria; Pseudomonadati; Pseudomonadota; Gammaproteobacteria; Moraxellales; Moraxellaceae. The record is from RNAcentral.